AGCACUUCUCAAACUUUUCCAUCACUAUUCUCCAUAUCUUCACUUUUUACUUUCUUAUAUGACAAAUUAACUUAGCGUCUUUAGCAUAGCACUGGGCCUUGUCAGGAACUCGAAGCAGGCAGACGGCGAACCCACAUGCACAGCACGGAGGCGAUAUUAUAAUCCACAAAAGGGUUUAUUCUCAAAGGCACGGUCAGACGGUCCAGGUCAUACACAGAAAAGGCUCGGCGAAAGUACAGACAGGGAACAGGCAAAAACUCACGGUAAGUAGGUAAUCCAAGGUCGGGCAGGAUACAUGAUACGGGCAGGAACAGGACACGGGAAACACGAACACUCAGGGAACUAGAAUACGACAAUCUGGCAUCGAACUAAGGACACAGGUGGUGGUUAAAUACAGUGAUUUGAUUAACUGAUUACCGACAGGUGUGGGUAAUGAACUAGGGAGAACAGAACUGAUAACAGGAAGUAACGCAAGAACGGAAACAGAAACUGGGAGUGCUACCAAAAUAAAACCGGAACUGGAACCUGGAACCAAAAUAAGACAAGGAGGACAUGACGUGAAAACAGGGAACAACUAGAGACAAAGACACUGAUCAUGACAGUACCCCCCCCCCCUAUGGCGCCUUCCACGGCGCCUACGGAAGCCUCCCCCCCCAAACCAGGGCGGGCGGAGGGGGGUCCCAGGCGGAGGGACCGAAUCCCCACCCCUCAAGGUACAUGAGCAGGGUGGGUGGAGGGAGGACCGGAGGAGGGCCAAAGCAAGAGUCCACAAACACUACAAAAGUCCAUGACCAAGAAAACAUGAAGUUCAGGGAUUCCCUCACGGAGGGUGAUGGCGUGGCGAGACCCUGCCCAGCAGCCGCUGAGCCAGGAUGGCACUCUUAGUGCCCUUGAGCUGGGACGAUGUCCCCGGGGACCACCCCGCAUGGCAGCGUCCUCCAGGCGGACGCUGAUCCAGGCGGUUGAGGAGUCGAGGCGGACGGCGCCGCAGGAGGCAGCGCCAUCCCAGCAGCAGGAUGCGCCGAGGGCGAGGCCACCAGUCCGGCAGCAAAGGCAGAGACGAGGCAGGAACCGAAGCAGAUGCGGCCGGAGCCGGACCGCCAGGGACCGAUGCAGAUGCGGCCGGAGCCGGACCGCCAGGAACCGAUGCAGAUGCGGCCGGAGCCGGGCCGCCAGGAACCGAUGCAGAUGCGGCCGGAGCCGGACCGCCAGGAACCGAUGCAGAUGCGGCCGGAGCCGGACCGCCAGGAACCGAUGCUGGUGCGGCCGGAGCCGGGACGGGAGCGGCCCCCUCCUGGAGGUCGGCAGGAGCUACGACGGGAGCGACCCCCUCCUGGAGGUCGGCAGGAGCUACGACGGGAGCGACCCCCUCCUGGAGGUCGGCAGGAACUACGACGGGAGCGACCCCCUCCUGGAGGUCGGCAGGAACUACGGCGGGAGCGACCCCCUCCUGGAGGUCGGCAGGAACUGCGACGGGCGCGACCCCCUCCUGGAGGUCGGCAGGAACUGCGGCGGGCGCGACCCCCUCCUGGGGGUCCGCCGGGACUGCGGCGGGCGCGACCCCCUCCUGGGGGUCCGCCGGGACUGCGGGGGGCGCGACCCCCUCCUGGGGGUCCGCCGGGACUGCGGGGGGCGCGACCCCCUCCUGGGGGUCCGCCGGGACUGCGGCGGGCGCGACCCCCCUCCUGGGGGUCCGCCGGACUGCGGCGGGCGCGACCCCCCUCCUGGAGGUGCGCAGGACUGCGGCUGGCGCCACCUCCUCCUGGAAGGUGGCGCAGAACCUUGCGGCUGGCGCAUACCUCCUCCUGGAGGGUGCGCAGGAACUGCGGCUGGCGCAACCUCCUCCUGGAGGUGCGCAGGAACUGCGGCUGGCGCAACCUCCUCCUGGAGGUGCGCAGGAACUGCGGCUGGCGCAACCUCCUCCUGGAGGUGCGCAGGAACUGCGGCUGGCGCAACCUCCUCCUGGAGGUGCGCAGGAACUGCGGCUGGCGCAACCUCCUCCUGGAGGUGCGCAGGAACUGCGGCUUGGCGCAACCUCCUCCUGGAGGUGCGCAGGAACUGCGGCUGGCGCAACCUCCUCCUGGAGGUGCGCAGGAACUGCGGCUGGCGCAACCUCCUCCUGGAGGUGCGCAGGAACUGCGGCUGGCGCAACCUCCUCCUGGAGGUGCGCAGGAACUGCGGCUGGCGCAACCUCCUCCUGGAGGUGCGCAGGAACUGCGGCUGGUGCAAACCUCCUCCUGGAGGUGCGCAGGGAACUGCGGCUGGCGCAACCUCCUCCUGGAGGUGCGCAGGAACUGCGGCUGGCGCAACCUCCUCCUGGAGGUGCGCAGGAACUGCGGCUGGCGCGACCUCCUCCUGGAGGUGCGCAGGAACUGCGACUGGCGCGACCUCCUCCUGGAGGUGCGCAGGAACUGCGACUAGCGCGACCUCCUCCUGGAGGUGCGCAGGAACUGCGGCUGGCGCGACCUCCUCCUGGAGGUGCGCAGGAACUGCGACUGGCGCGACCUCCUCCUGGAGGUGCGCAGGAACUGCAGGUGCUGCCUCCUCCUGGAGGCCGGCGGGCGCUGCGGCUCCAAGGGUGACGGGGACUGGAACGACCGCUACAGGGCCGACGGGAACGGGGAAUGGAACGACCGCUACAGGGCCGACAGGAACGGGGUCAGAGACAGGGGUGACCUCUACUUGGCCUACGGGAACGCCCUCUACUUGGCCUACGGGAACGCCCUCUACUUGGCCUACGGGAACGCCCUCAACUUGGUCGACAGGGACAGGAGCUGGAACGACCUCAACUUGGUCGACAGGGACAGGAACUGGAACGACCUCAACUUGGUCGACAGGGACAGGAACUGGAACGACCUCAACAUGGCCGACAGGAACAGGAACUGGAACGACCUCAACUUGGUCGACAAGAACUGGAACGACCUCAACAUGGCCGACAGGAACUGGAACGACCUCAACAUGGCCGACAGGAACUGGAACGACCUCAACAUGGCCGACAGGAACUGGAACGACCGCAACAUGGCCGACAGGAACUGGAACGACCGCAACAUGGCCGACAGGAACUGGAACGGCCUCUGCUUGGCCGACAGGAACUAGAACGGCGUCCUCCUCUGAGGAGCCGACAGGAACUGGAACUAGAACGGCCUCAAUAUGGCCGACAGGGACUAGAACGGCGUCCUCCUCUGAGGAGCCGACAGGAACUGGAACUAGAACGGCCUCAAUAUGGCCGACGGGAACAGGAACGGCGUCCUCCUCUGAGGAGCCGACAGGAACUAGAACGGCCGCAACAUGGCCGACAGGGACUGGAACGGCCGCAACAUGGCCGACAGGGACUGGAGCGGCGUCCCCUCCGGAGCUGGCAUGACAGCUUACAGCUGCCGAGCUCGACGGGGGAGACGUCGGGCCUGAUUGGGUGGGGUUAACAGUCGUCAGACGGACAGCGCCCUCUGACGGGGACAAGGACGGAACUGGGGUCAGGGCAACACACGACUGAUCUGGGGUCUGGGCAACACACGGCUGAUCAGGGGUCUGGGCAACACACGGCUGAUCAGGGGUCUGGGCAACACACGGCUGAUCUGGGGUCUGGGCAACACACGGCUGAUCUGGGGUCUGGGCAACACACGGCUGAUCUGGGGUCUGGGCAACACACGGCUGAUCUGGGGUCUGGGCAACACACGGCUGAUCUGGGGUCUGGACUAGGUUUGACUGGGCUGGGGCCUGGAGACGACAGGGCUGCACCGGGGCAUGAGUAACACACGGUUUAACUGGGGCCUGGGCAACGCGCGGCUGAACUGGGGUCUGGGCAGCGCGCGGCUGACUUGGAAACUGAGCAGCGCGCGGCUGACUUGGAAACUGAGCAGCGCGCGGCUGACUUGGAAACUGAGCAGCGCGCGGCUGACUUGGGAACUGAGCAGCGCGCGGCUGACUUGGAGGCUGAGCAGCGCGCGGCUGACUUGGAGGCUGAGCAGCGCGCGGCUGACUUGGAGGCUGAGCAGCGCGCGGCUGACUUGGAGGCUGAGCAGCGCGCGGCUGAACUGGAGACUGAGCAGCGCGCGGCUGAACUGGAGACUGAGCAGCGCGCGGCUGAACUGGAGACUGAGCAGCGCGCGGCUGAACUGGAGACUGAGCAGCGCGCGGCUGACUUGGAGGCUGAGCAGCGCGCGGCGGAACUGGAGACUGAGGGCCGCGUGAGAGCAGGAAAUCCUCCCAGGGAAAUAACCAUGGAGCUGGGCAGGUUGGUGCAGGCACGACGAUCCGACGGGGCGGGGAGGAGGAAACCGAAACCAUAGGCGGUGCGACUGGCGCUGGCGUGGUACAGAGCGUGUCGCUUAAUUCAUCAAACUUCGCGCAUAGUCGCUCGUAGAGGCGAUGAACGCUGGGGUGAUCUAACGCGGUGUCAUCGUCCUCCAGCGUCACUAUUGCCACCUCUACGGCGCUGCGCUGAUCCUCCGAGUUACUAGCCCGUCGGUAAUCCUCCGCAAGGAUCUCGAAAUACUUAUGUAGGUCGCUGGGUAGCUCGGCGCAGGUAAACUCCAUACUUCCGCGGGAGAGUUAUAUUCGCCGUAAAAAAAACAAGGAAAAACAGUCACUGACCUGACCGGAGGCUAAGUGCUGGCUGGGUCCAAGUCAUGCCAGAUUGUUCUGUCAGGAACUCGAAGCAGGCAGACGGCGAACCCACAUGCACAGCACGGAGGCGAUAUUAUAAUCCACAAAAGGGUUUAUUCUCAAAGGCACGGUCAGACGGUCCAGGUCAUACACAGAAAAGGCUCGGCGAAAGUACAGACAGGGAACAGGCAAAAACUCACGGUAAGUAGGUAAUCCAAGGUCGGGCAGGAUACAUGAUACGGGCAGGAACAGGACACGGGAAACACGAACACUCAGGGAACUAGAAUACGACAAUCUGGCAUCGAACUAAGGACACAGGUGGUGGUUAAAUACAGUGAUUUGAUUAACUGAUUACCGACAGGUGUGGGUAAUGAACUAGGGAGAACAGAACUGAUAACAGGAAGUAACGCAAGAACGGAAACAGAAACUGGGAGUGCUACCAAAAUAAAACCGGAACUGGAACCUGGAACCA
This is a long non-coding RNA of Betta splendens (Siamese fighting fish), 5077 nucleotides long. The record is from Ensembl. Lineage: Eukaryota; Metazoa; Chordata; Actinopteri; Anabantiformes; Osphronemidae.